Molecule: small RNA, 151 nt
Filed under: Fibrocapsa japonica
Lineage: Eukaryota; Raphidophyceae; Chattonellales; Chattonellaceae
Description: partial transfer-messenger RNA
Source: RNAcentral
AAACAAACAAGCAAACAAAUAAUCGCGAAAGAAAACAAAUAUAUAUUAUAUAUUUUUAAGAGCACCUAGUAUUCAUUUUUGAAUCUUUGCAUGCUGAGGAUGUCAAUUUGUAGACUUGGGGUAUUAUCUGUCGUUCAAAGUAUUUUUUCAG